GUACACUCCUGCGGGAGGCAGCAGUGGGGAAUAUUGGACAAUGGGCGCAAGCCUGAUCCAGCCAUGCCGCGUGAGUGAUGAAGGCCCUAGGGUUGUAAAGCUCUUUCACCGGUGAAGAUAAUGACGGUAACCGGAGAAGAAGCCCCGGCUAACUUCGUGCCAGCAGCCGCGGUAAUACGAAGGGGGCUAGCGUUGUUCGGAUUUACUGGGCGUAAAGCGCACGUAGGCGGACUAUUAAGUCAGGGGUGAAAUCCCGGGGCUCAACCCCGGAACUGCCUUUGAUACUGGUAGUCUUGAGUUCGAGAGAGGUGAGUGGAAUUCCGAGUGUAGAGGUGAAAUUCGUAGAUAUUCGGAGGAACACCAGUGGCGAAGGCGGCUCACUGGCUCGAUACUGACGCUGAGGUGCGAAAGCGUGGGGAGCAAACAGGAUUAGAUACCCUAGUAGUCCCAUGA
Molecule: ribosomal RNA, 453 nt
Filed under: uncultured organism
Description: partial 16S ribosomal RNA
Rfam family: Bacterial small subunit ribosomal RNA
Source: RNAcentral